GGGCCCCGAGGUUAGCCGCAAACUCUGAUUGGCUCUCAGCGAGCGCCGUCUGAUGAAUUUAAUUAAAGAGGCACAAACAUGUGAUGUAUGGAGAGUUAAAGGAGCUGCUC
Long non-coding RNA from Salarias fasciatus (jewelled blenny), 110 nucleotides. RefSeq lists it as uncharacterized. The transcript is spliced from 3 exons. Lineage: Eukaryota; Metazoa; Chordata; Actinopteri; Blenniiformes; Blenniidae. The record is from RefSeq and is a predicted model, not a curated record.